Molecule: ribosomal RNA, 486 nt
Filed under: uncultured bacterium
Lineage: Bacteria
Description: partial 16S ribosomal RNA
Rfam family: Bacterial small subunit ribosomal RNA
Source: RNAcentral
AUUGAACGCUGGCGGCAUGCCUUACACAUGCAAGUCGAACGGCAGCACGGGUGCUUGCCCCUGGUGGCGAGUGGCGAACGGGUGAGUAAUACAUCGGAACAUGUCCUGUAGUGGGGGAUAGCCCGGCGAAAGCCGGAUUAAUACCGCAUACGAUCUACGGAUGAAAGCGGGGGACCUUUGGGCCUCGCGCUAUAGGGUUGGCCGAUGGCUGAUUAGCUAGUUGGUGGGGUAAAGGCCUACCAAGGCGACGAUCAGUAGCUGGUCUGAGAGGACGACCAGCCACACUGGGACUGAGACACGGCCCAGACUCCUACGGGAGGCAGCAGUGGGGAAUUUUGGACAAUGGGCGAAAGCCUGAUCCAGCAAUGCCGCGUGUGUGAAGAAGGCCUUCGGGUUGUAAAGCACUUUUGUCCGGAAAGAAAUCCUUGGCUCUAAUACAGUCGGGGGAUGACGGUACCGGAAGAAUAAGCACCGGCUAACUACGUG